UAAACCCCAUUGCCCAGGCAGACGCUCA
RNAcentral lists this small RNA (28 nucleotides) under Bombyx mori (domestic silkworm). RNAcentral describes it as "ovarian small RNA-18146". Lineage: Eukaryota; Metazoa; Arthropoda; Insecta; Lepidoptera; Bombycidae. The record is from RNAcentral.